This is an RNA transcript of Salvia miltiorrhiza (redroot sage), 852 nucleotides long. RefSeq lists it as uncharacterized. NCBI's taxonomy places the organism in Eukaryota, Viridiplantae, Streptophyta, Magnoliopsida, Lamiales, Lamiaceae. The record is from RefSeq and is a predicted model, not a curated record. The transcript has 5 exons.
AAUUACGUAUAGUGUAACAGUGCCCUAAUUCUCCUCCCUCGCUGCACACAUCUUCCGCCACCAUUCUCCCCGCGCCACCCAGCCGAUGUUACACCUUCCGGCGGCGGCGCCUCCAUCCCGUCAUCAUUCUCUCGCUGAUUUCUCAUUAUCGACAUCUCUCCGCACUCGCUGAUUCCUCAGAUUUCGUAGGAAUUUGAAGUCCCAAUCGCUGAAGUCAGUUCCACAGAUGAAGUUUCCAUCGCUGAUUCCUCAUUAUCGCCGAAGUCUCCAUCUCUGAAGUCUCUAUCACAGAAAAGUGCGCCUCCAUUGCCAAAGUCAGUUCCAUAGAUCACCGCUGCUCUUGCUCUGCUGUGUUUCGUCGCUGCUCUAGGCUUUGUAGCUGCUCUCUGCGUCUUUCUCUGGUCCGUCGUGCUUCGCCGCCUCUAAGGGCGUUAAAGAUGUUCAAUGCCACGAUGCAGAGGAAAGGAAGAAAGACACUAAACUGGUCAAUACCUAAGGUUCCUAAACAACCUGACAACUCUCAGUGUGGUUUUUAUGUCAUGAGAUAUAUGAAAGAUAUUAUUGAGUCUGCUAAUUUUGAGAGGAUUAGCUCGCUGCAAUUAUUGAUCAAUAGCAAAAGUUAUUCUAGUGUGGAGAUUGAUGAAGUGCGGAGGGAGUGGGCUGAUUGUGUUUUGCAGGUAAUAUGAUCAAAGCUAACUUGGAUGCAAAGAGGAAAGAAGACCAUAUUGAGUUUUUGAAAAAUUGAGGCUUCAAGAACAUUUGAUUUUGAGAGUUGAUAUUAGAUUUUGUCUUCCUAGAAACUUGAUAUUAGACUUUCUAUUGUUAUAUUGAUAGUUGAAACUUGGUGCGAGA